RNAcentral lists this ribosomal RNA (133 nucleotides) under Enterobacter sp. UCD-UG_FMILLET. RNAcentral's name for it is "partial 23S ribosomal RNA". It matches the Rfam family "Bacterial large subunit ribosomal RNA", at positions 1 to 124 of the family's 2925-position model. The record is from RNAcentral. Lineage: Bacteria; Pseudomonadati; Pseudomonadota; Gammaproteobacteria; Enterobacterales; Enterobacteriaceae.
GGGUUGUGAGGUUAAGCGACUAAGCGUACACGGUGGAUGCCCUGGCAGUCAGAGGCGAUGAAGGACGUGCUAAUCUGCGAAAAGCGCCGGCGAGGUGAUAUGAACCUUUGACCCGGCGAUGUCCGAAUGGGGA